RNAcentral lists this ribosomal RNA (253 nucleotides) under uncultured bacterium. RNAcentral's name for it is "partial 16S ribosomal RNA". It matches the Rfam family "Bacterial small subunit ribosomal RNA", at positions 524 to 776 of the family's 1533-position model. The record is from RNAcentral.
UACGGAGAGUGCAAGCGUUAAUCGGAAUUACUGGGCGUAAAGCGCGCGUAGGCGGUUUUUUAAGUCGGAUGUGAAAGCCCCGGGCUCAACCUGGGAACUGCAUCCGAUACUGGAAGACUAGAAUGCGGGAGAGGGAGGUAAAAUUCCAUGUGUAGCAGUGAAAUGCGUAGAUAUAUGGAGGAAUACCAGUGGCGAAGGCGGCCUCCUGGCUCGACAUUGACGCUGAGGUGCGAAAGCGUGGGGAGCAAACGGG